GACGAACGCUGGCGGCGUGCUUAACACAUGCAAGUCGAACGGAAAGGCCCUGCUUUUGUGGGGUGCUCGAGUGGCGAACGGGUGAGUAACACGUGAGUAACCUGCCCUUUACUUUGGGAUAACUUCAGGAAACUGGGGCUAAUACCGGAUAGGAGCUCCUGCUGCAUGGUGGGGGUUGGAAAGUUUCGGCGGUUGGGGAUGGACUCGCGGCUUAUCAGCUUGUUGGUGGGGUAGUGGCAUACCAAGGCUUUGACGGGUAGCCGGCCUGAGAGGGUGACCGGCCACAUUGGGACUGAGAUACGGCCCAGACUCAUACGGGAGGCAGCAGUGGGGAAUAUUGCACAAUGGGCGGAAGCCUGAUGCAGCAACGCCGCGUGCGGGAUGACGGCCUUCGGGUUGUAAACCGCUUGCGCCUGUGACGAAGCGUGAGUGACGGUAAUGGGUAAAGAAGCACCGGCUAACUACGUG
This 468-nucleotide ribosomal RNA is filed under the name uncultured bacterium. RNAcentral describes it as "partial 16S ribosomal RNA". It matches the Rfam family "Bacterial small subunit ribosomal RNA", at positions 28 to 507 of the family's 1533-position model. The record is from RNAcentral.